CUACGGGUCGCACCAGUGAGGAAUUUUGCGCAAUGGGGGCAACCCUGACGCAGCAACGCCGCGUGAGUGAUGAAGGCCUUCGGGUCGUAAAACUCUUUUCUUGAGGAAGAAUAAUGACGGUACUCAAGGAAUAAGCCCCGGCUAAUUACGUGCCAGCAGCCGCGGUAAUACGUAAGGGGCAAGCGUUAUCCGGAAUCACUGGGCGUAAAGGGUGCGUAGGUGGGUAGGUAAGUCAGAAGUGAAAGGCAUUGGCUCAACCAAUGUAAGCUUUUGAAACUGCUUAACUUGAGUGCAGGAGAGGAAAGUGGAAUUCCUAGUGUAGCGGUGAAAUGCGUAGAUAUUAGGAGGAACACCAGUGGCGAAGGCGACUUUCUGGACUGUUACUGACACUGAGGCACGAAAGCGUGGGGGGCGAACAGGAUUAGAUACCCCUGUAGUC
This 439-nucleotide ribosomal RNA is filed under the name uncultured bacterium. RNAcentral's name for it is "partial 16S ribosomal RNA". It matches the Rfam family "Bacterial small subunit ribosomal RNA", at positions 339 to 795 of the family's 1533-position model. The record is from RNAcentral.